RNAcentral lists this ribosomal RNA (496 nucleotides) under uncultured bacterium. RNAcentral describes it as "partial 16S ribosomal RNA". It matches the Rfam family "Bacterial small subunit ribosomal RNA", at positions 29 to 507 of the family's 1533-position model. The record is from RNAcentral.
AUGCACGCUGGCGGCGUGCCUAAUCCCUGCAAGUCGAGCGAACAGACGAGGAGCUUGCUCCUCUGAUGUUAGCGGCGGACGGGUGAGUAACACGUGGAUAACCUACCUAUAAGACUGGGAUAACUUCGGGAAACCGGAGCUAAUACCGGAUAACAUGUUGAACCGCAUGGUUCAACAGUGAAAGACGGUCUUGCUGUCACUUAUAGAUGGAUCCGCGCCGCAUUAGCUAGUUGGUAAGGUAACGGCUUACCAAGGCAACGAUGCGUAGCCGACCUGAGAGGGUGAUCGGCCACACUGGAACUGAGACACGGUCCAGACUCCUACGGGAGGCAGCAGUAGGGAAUCUUCCGCAAUGGGCGAAAGCCUGACGGAGCAACGCCGCGUGAGUGAAGAAGGUCUUCGGAUCGUAAAACUCUGUUAUUAGGGAAGAACAAAUGUGUAAGUAACUAUGCACGUCUUGACGGUACCUAAUCAGAAAGCCACGGCUAACUACGUG